This 392-nucleotide ribosomal RNA is filed under the name uncultured Gammaproteobacteria bacterium. RNAcentral's name for it is "bacterial SSU rRNA". It matches the Rfam family "Bacterial small subunit ribosomal RNA", at positions 370 to 779 of the family's 1533-position model. Lineage: Bacteria; Pseudomonadati; Pseudomonadota; Gammaproteobacteria. The record is from RNAcentral.
AAUGGGGGCAACCCUGAUCCAGCAAUGCCGCGUGUGUGAAGAAGGCCCUAGGGUUGUAAAGCACUUUCAGUCGUGACGAUGAUGACGGUAACGACAGAAGAAGCCCCGGCUAACUCCGUGCCAGCAGCCGCGGUAAUACGGAGGGGGCAAGCGUUGUUCGGAAUUACUGGGCGUAAAGGGCGCGUAGGCGGCCAAGUCAGUCAGGCGUGAAAGCCCAGGGCUCAACCCUGGAAUUGCGCUUGAUACUGCUUGGCUCGAGACCGGAAGAGGGUAGUGGAAUUCCCAGUGUAGAGGUGAAAUUCGUAGAUAUUGGGAAGAACACCAGUGGCGAAGGCGGCUACCUGGUCCGGAUCUGACGCUGAGGCGCGAAAGCGUGGGGAGCAAACAGGAUU